Molecule: ribosomal RNA, 1243 nt
Filed under: uncultured euryarchaeote
Lineage: Archaea; Methanobacteriati; Methanobacteriota
Description: bacterial SSU rRNA
Rfam family: Archaeal small subunit ribosomal RNA
Source: RNAcentral
GGAUUUAGUCCCUUCGCGGAUCGCCCAGUAACACGUCGAUAAUCUGCCCUUGUGUCGGGGAUAAUCUUGGGAAACUGAGGAUAAUACCUGAUAUGUGAUGGAGCCUGGAACUGGUUUAUCAUUAAAAGUUUUAACAUACAAGGAUGAGUUGGCGGCUGAUUAGGUAGUUGGCGGGGUAACGGCCCACCAAGCCGACGAUCAGUAAGGGCCAUGAGAGUGGGGGCCCUGGGAGGGUCACUGAGAAACUGGACCCAGCCCUAAGGGGUGCAGCAGGCGCGAAACCUCUUCAAUGCACGACAGUGUGAAAGGGGAAUCCUACGUGCUUAUGUAAUUCAUAGGCUUUUGCACAGUGUAAAUAGCUGCGCGAAUAAGGGGUGGGCAAGACCGGUGCCAGCAGCCGCGGUAACACCGGCGCCCCGGGUGGCAAUCGCAUUUAUUGGGCCUAAAGCAUCCGUAGCCGGGUGUGUAAAUCCUUUGUGAAAUCUCUCUGCUUAACAGAGAGGCGUGCAGGGGACACUGCACAUCUAGGGACCGGGAGGGGUCAGAGGUAUUCUGGGGGGAGCGGUAAAAUGUUUUGAUCCUCGGAGGACCACCGAUGGCGAAAGCAUCUGACCAGAACGGAUCUGACGGUGAGGGAUGAAGGCUAGGGGAGCAAAACGGAUUAGAUACCCGAGUAGUCCUAGCUGUAAACGCUGUAUGCAAGGUGUUGCGUAUCUUUGUGGAUGCGCAGUAUCGAAGAGAAGUCGUUAAGCAUACCGCCUGGGAAGUACGGUCGCAAGACUGGAACUUAAAGGAAUUGGCGGGGGAGCACCACAAGGGGUGCGGCGUGCGGUUUAAUCUAACUUAACGCAGAGAAUCUCACCAGGGGCGACAGCAAGAUGAAGAUCAGUCUAAAGGGCUUAUUGGAUGAGCUGAGAGGUAGUGCAUGGCCGUCGUCAGCUCGUGCCGUAAGGUGUCCUGUUAAGUCAGGCAACGAGCGAGACCUGUGUCCACAAUUGCCAGCGAUUUCUACGGAAAGAUCGGGAACAUUGUGGGGACUGCCGGGGAAACCCGGAGGAAGGUGCAGGCUACGGUAGGUCUGUAUGCUCCGAAUCUCCUGGGCUACACGCGCGCAACAAUGGUAUGGACAAUGGGACACUACUCCGAAAGGAGACGUUAAGCCUCGAAACCAUGCCCAAGUACAGAUUGCGGACUGUAACUCGUCCGCAUGACGCUGGAAUCCCUAGUAAUCGGAAGUCAACAU